GGUCAAGUUAUUAAGGGUGCAGGGCGGAUGCCUUGGCACUAGGAGCCGAUGAAGGACGUGAUAAGCUGCGAUAAGCUUCGGGGAGUUGCACGUAAACUUUGAUCCGAAGAUUUCCGAAUGAGGAAACUCACUUAGAGUAAUGUCUAAGUAUCAUUAAGUGAAUACAUAGCUUAAUGAGGGGAACUCAGGGAACUGAAACAUCUAAGUACCUGAAGGAAGAGAAAGAAAUUCGAUUCCGUAAGUAGCGGCGAGCGAACGCGGAUUAGCC
Molecule: ribosomal RNA, 268 nt
Filed under: Clostridioides difficile
Lineage: Bacteria; Bacillati; Bacillota; Clostridia; Peptostreptococcales; Peptostreptococcaceae
Description: partial 23S ribosomal RNA
Rfam family: Bacterial large subunit ribosomal RNA
Source: RNAcentral